RNAcentral lists this ribosomal RNA (253 nucleotides) under uncultured bacterium. Its description in RNAcentral is "partial 16S ribosomal RNA". It matches the Rfam family "Bacterial small subunit ribosomal RNA", at positions 524 to 776 of the family's 1533-position model. The record is from RNAcentral.
UACGAAGGUGGCAAGCGUUGUUCGGAUUUACUGGGCGUACAGGGAGCGUAGGCGGUUGGGUAAGCCCUCCGUGAAAUCUCCAGGCUUAACCUGGAAAGUGCAGAGGGGACUGCUCAGCUAGAGGAUGGGAGAGGAGCGCGGAAUUCCCGGUGUAGCGGUGAAAUGCGUAGAGAUCGGGAGGAAGGCCGGUGGCGAAGGCGGCGCUCUGGAACAUUUCUGACGCUGAGGCUCGAAAGCGUGGGGAGCAAACAGG